GAUGAAGAACGUAGCGAAAUGCGAUAAGUAAUGCGAAUUGCAGAAUUUCCGUGAGUCAUCGAAUCUUUGAACGCACAUUGCGCCCGGCAGUAAUCUGCCGGGCAUGCCUGUCCGAGCGUCAUUUCACCCCUCGAGCCGCUUUUAGUGGAUCGGUGUUGGGGCACUACGGUAAAACGUAGGCCCUGAAAUGAAGUGGCGGUCCCGCCGCGGUGCCCCCAUGCGUAGUAACGUUUAGUCUCGCAUCGGGUCCCGGCGGAGGCCUGCCGUCAAGCCUAUUUAUUCUCAGAAUAGUUUGACCUCGGAUCAGGUAGGGUUACCCGCUGAACUUAAGCAUAUCAAUAAGCGGAGGA
This 350-nucleotide unclassified non-coding RNA is filed under the name soil metagenome. RNAcentral's name for it is "partial contains 5.8S ribosomal RNA, internal transcribed spacer 2, and large subunit ribosomal RNA". The stretch from base 1 to 121 matches the Rfam family "5.8S ribosomal RNA", at positions 35 to 154 of the family's 154-position model. The record is from RNAcentral.